GUGGGGAAUAUUGCACAAUGGGCGCAAGCCUGAUGCAGCGACGCCGCGUGAGGGAUGACGGCCUUCGGGUUGUAAACCUCUUUCAGUAGGGAAGAAGCGAAAGUGACGGUACCUGCAGAAGAAGCACCGGCUAACUACGUGCCAGCAGCCGCGGUAAUACGUAGGGUGCGAGCGUUAUCCGGAAUUAUUGGGCGUAAAGAGCUCGUAGGCGGUUUGUCGCGUCUGCCGUGAAAGUCCGGGGCUUAACUCCGGAUCUGCGGUGGGUACGGGCAGACUAGAGUGCAGUAGGGGAGACUGGAAUUCCUGGUGUAGCGGUGGAAUGCGCAGAUAUCAGGAGGAACACCGAUGGCGAAGGCAGGUCUCUGGGCUGUAACUGACGCUGAGGAGCGAAAGCAUGGGGAGCGAACAGGAUUAGAAACCCGAGUAGUCC
This 430-nucleotide ribosomal RNA is filed under the name uncultured Micrococcus sp. RNAcentral describes it as "bacterial SSU rRNA". It matches the Rfam family "Bacterial small subunit ribosomal RNA", at positions 354 to 796 of the family's 1533-position model. The record is from RNAcentral. Lineage: Bacteria; Bacillati; Actinomycetota; Actinomycetes; Micrococcales; Micrococcaceae.